This 497-nucleotide ribosomal RNA is filed under the name uncultured bacterium. Its description in RNAcentral is "partial 16S ribosomal RNA". It matches the Rfam family "Bacterial small subunit ribosomal RNA", at positions 28 to 507 of the family's 1533-position model. The record is from RNAcentral.
GAUGAACGCUGGCGGCGUGCCUAAUACAUGCAAGUCGAGCGAACAGACGAGGAGCUUGCUCCUCUGACAUUAGCGGCGGACGGGUGAGUAACACGUGGAUAACCUACCUAUAAGACUGGGAUAACUUCGGGAAACCGGAGCUAAUACCGGAUAAUAUAUUGAACCGCAUGGUUCAAUAGUUAAAGACGGUUUUGCUGUCACUUAUAGAUGGAUCCGCGCUGCAUUAGCUAGUUGGUAAGGUAACGGCUUACCAAGGCAACGAUGCGUAGCCGACCUGAGAGGGUGAUCGGCCACACUGGAACUGAGACACGGUCCAGACUCCUACGGGAGGCAGCAGUAGGGAAUCUUCCGCAAUGGGCGAAAGCCUGACGGAGCAACGCCGCGUGAGUGAUGAAGGUCUUCGGAUCGUAAAACUCUGUUAUUAGGGAAGAACAAAUGUGUAAGUAACUAUGCACGUCUUGACGGUACCUAAUCAGAAAGCCACGGCUAACUACGUG